RNAcentral lists this ribosomal RNA (471 nucleotides) under uncultured bacterium. RNAcentral describes it as "bacterial SSU rRNA". It matches the Rfam family "Bacterial small subunit ribosomal RNA", at positions 355 to 825 of the family's 1533-position model. The record is from RNAcentral.
UCGAGAAUUUUUCUCAAUGGGCGAAAGCCUGAAGGAGCGACGCCGCGUGGGGGAUGAAUGGCUUCGGCCCGUAAACCCCUGUCAUUUGCGAACAAACCUCGUGAUUUAACAGAUGACGAGCUGAUUGUAGCGAAAGAGGAAGGGACGGCUAACUCUGUGCCAGCAGCCGCGGUAAUACGUAGGGACCAAGCGUUGUUCGGAUUUACUGGGCGUAAAGGGCGCGUAGGCGGCAUGACAAGUCACUUGUGAAAUCUCUGGGCUUAACCCAGAACGGCCAAGUGAUACUGUCGCGCUAGAGUGCAGAAGGGGCAAUCGGAAUUCUUGGUGUAGCGGUGAAAUGCGUAGAUAUCAAGAGGAACACCUGAGGUGAAGACGGGUUGCUGGGCUGACACUGACGCUGAGGCGCGAAAGCCAGGGGAGCAAACGGGAUUAGAUACCCCAGUAGUCCCUGAGCGGGCUGGCAAGGCGCAU